Molecule: ribosomal RNA, 1225 nt
Filed under: Staphylococcus aureus
Lineage: Bacteria; Bacillati; Bacillota; Bacilli; Caryophanales; Staphylococcaceae
Description: partial 23S ribosomal RNA
Rfam family: Bacterial large subunit ribosomal RNA
Source: RNAcentral
GAUUAAGUUAUUAAGGGCGCACGGUGGAUGCCUUGGCACUAGAAGCCGAUGAAGGACGUUACUAACGACGAUAUGCUUUGGGGAGCUGUAAGUAAGCUUUGAUCCAGAGAUUUCCGAAUGGGGAAACCCAGCAUGAGUUAUGUCAUGUUAUCGAUAUGUGAAUACAUAGCAUAUUAGAAGGCACACCCGGAGAACUGAAACAUCUUAGUACCCGGAGGAAGAGAAAGAAAAUUCGAUUCCCUUAGUAGCGGCGAGCGAAACGGGAAGAGCCCAAACCAACAAGCUUGCUUGUUGGGGUUGUAGGACACUCUAUACGGAGUUACAAAGGACGACAUUAGACGAAUCAUCUGGAAAGAUGAAUCAAAGAAGGUAAUAAUCCUGUAGUCGAAAAUGUUGUCUCUCUUGAGUGGAUCCUGAGUACGACGGAGCACGUGAAAUUCCGUCGGAAUCUGGGAGGACCAUCUCCUAAGGCUAAAUACUCUCUAGUGACCGAUAGUGAACCAGUACCGUGAGGGAAAGGUGAAAAGCACCCCGGAAGGGGAGUGAAAUAGAACCUGAAACCGUGUGCUUACAAGUAGUCAGAGCCCGUUAAUGGGUGAUGGCGUGCCUUUUGUAGAAUGAACCGGCGAGUUACGAUUUGAUGCAAGGUUAAGCAGUAAAUGUGGAGCCGUAGCGAAAGCGAGUCUGAAUAGGGCGUUUAGUAUUUGGUCGUAGACCCGAAACCAGGUGAUCUACCCUUGGUCAGGUUGAAGUUCAGGUAACACUGAAUGGAGGACCGAACCGACUUACGUUGAAAAGUGAGCGGAUGAACUGAGGGUAGCGGAGAAAUUCCAAUCGAACCUGGAGAUAGCUGGUUCUCUCCGAAAUAGCUUUAGGGCUAGCCUCAAGUGAUGAUUAUUGGAGGUAGAGCACUGUUUGGACGAGGGGCCCCUCUCGGGUUACCGAAUUCAGACAAACUCCGAAUGCCAAUUAAUUUAACUUGGGAGUCAGAACAUGGGUGAUAAGGUCCGUGUUCGAAAGGGAAACAGCCCAGACCACCAGCUAAGGUCCCAAAAUAUAUGUUAAGUGGAAAAGGAUGUGGCGUUGCCCAGACAACUAGGAUGUUGGCUUAGAAGCAGCCAUCAUUUAAAGAGUGCGUAAUAGCUCACUAGUCGAGUGACACUGCGCCGAAAAUGUACCGGGGCUAAACAUAUUACCGAAGCUGUGGAUUGUCCUUUGGACAAUG